RNAcentral lists this ribosomal RNA (464 nucleotides) under uncultured bacterium. RNAcentral describes it as "partial 16S ribosomal RNA". It matches the Rfam family "Bacterial small subunit ribosomal RNA", at positions 339 to 795 of the family's 1533-position model. The record is from RNAcentral.
CUACGGGGCGCAGCAGUGGGGAAUUUUGCGCAAUGGGGGAAACCCUGAUGCAGCAACGCCGCGUGAGCGAAGAAGGCCUUCGGGUCGUAAAGCUCUGUCAAGUGGGAAGAACAUUUUUUGAUCAAUAGUGCAAUGACUUGACGGUACCAUUGGAGGAAGCACCGGCUAACUCCGUGCCAGCAGCCGCGGUAAUACGGAGGGUGCGAGCGUUGUGCGGAUUUACUGGGCGUAAAGCGCGUGUAGGCGGUUUAGUAAGUCAGAUGUGAAAGCCCUGGGCUCAACCCGGGAAGUGCAUUUGAAACUGGUUCACUAGAGUAUGGGAGAGGAAAGUGGAAUUCCGGGUGUAGAGGUGAAAUUCGUAGAUAUCAGGAGGAACACCCAUGGCGAAGGCGAUUCUCUGGACCAAUACUGACGCUGAGACGCGAAAGCGUGGGGAGCAAACAGGAUUAGAUACCCGCGUAGUC